GGUCAGGCCUUGGCGCGGUUGUGGAUCUAGCGUUGGUGACCGAUGGCGACGGCGGGGCUGCGGUGGGCUUGGGCCAGGGCGCGGCUGCGGCUGCGGAGGGAACGGGUGAGUGCGCGGUUGAGGGUGGCGAUGGCGCAGCUUCUGCAGGUGGUGGUGGCUCGGCUGCAGCGGGCUCAGGCCAGGGCGUGGCAGUGGCUGGAGACUCCGGCCAGGGCACUGCUGGGUCGGCCUCGGCAGCAGCUUCAGGCCAGGGCACGGCUCGGUUGGCACUCCAAAAGUGAUGAACCCUAGAAAGUGGUAUAUCUCGGCCUCCUUCCCUUAGCACUACUCCUGACAUAUUCAAUUUCUGGAAUAGUUCAUUCCCUGUACUGUAUUUAGAUAUCUAGCAUUUGAACAUAAUUUAUACUAGCAAUUCGUGGCUUUAAGGAAUUGAGUAAAACCUACCCUUGCAGGCUUCAAAUCCAAUCAUGCACAUUUGUUUUAAUUCGCCAUAGCAAAUGUUCAGUUAUAGCUUUAGUAUUGAAAACUAAGUUUCCCUGGAGCUUUGCUCAUAUGUUAGGACAAUUAUACUUUUUUGUUAGCUUUCAAUUCACAAGUUAUAGUAAUCUGCUAUUCUAGGCUUUGCUCCACUGGAAGGGAUUCAUGUGCCAAAUCCAAUCUCUACUGUUGCUGGUCCUCUUGUCGGCCAGCUUCGGCUGCCGCAUCGUGCCAACACCGAUGCAACAGCCAGCACAGUAGCCCAAAGGCCUAAGAAGCAUACUCGCGUCCUGAAUAACAGAGAGCUUCUUGUGUCACUUCAUCAAAAACAAGAUAGGCAUCAUGAUUGGAUGAAGCGCCAGAUGCAGAGUCUUUUGGUUGAUGUCAAUCACAUGCGCAACCUUGCUACCAAGAACUCAUUUGUUGCUCAUGAAGCCUGUCAGAGUGUGUCAUGGAUUUAACACGGUAGAUUUCCUAGUGAAAGGACUUAGGUGUGGAGCCAUCGCACUAGGUUAGCUUAAAGGGGUUAAAUAGGACAAAGGACACAAGGAGUUUACCCAGGUUCGGCCCCUCUAAACGAGUGUAACAUCCCAAAAUUCUAAAUUUUGGAAUGUUAUAUUAAAUAGAUGUUAUGAUUGAUUGUUUGAUUGCUUGAGUGAAAUUCGAAACUUUUUGAAAGUUAAAUGAGAGGGAAUAAAAGGACUUUCCCAAACCUUCAUUUUUGCAUUUAUGAUCUCCGUGAAUUCAAAUACUUUUCAUCACAAAAUCCUGGAGUGAAGAUGACAUGACUUCUUCCAUUUAUUUAAAUGAAAAGGGUUGUUGAAAAUAUUUGAAUUUCAUUUGAAAAUAUUUCAAAUCCAGAAACUUUAAGCAACUCAAUGAUUUUCAUGAGAAGAUAAAAUGACUUCUUCAAAACAUAUGAAAUAUGAGUUGGAAGUUUCAAAGAGUCAAAUUUAAAGCCCCUUUGAAAUUAUUUUCAAUUUGGAGUUAUUUCAGUUUUAUUCAAAUUAUUUUUCUUCAAAAAUAAAAUAUAUGGAAAAUAGGGUAAAAUGAUUCUCUACAGUAGAAAAUUGGAGAGAAAUAAAUUUGAAAUCAUUUUGGUAUUUUUAAAAAUGAUUUUUAUCAGGUUUAAUUGCAAAUAGUAACAAUCUUUGAAUUAUUUGAAUUUUUGUAGAUUUUAUUUGGCGUUAGAAAAAUGUUCAUGUUGAAGAAAAUCUUUUUCUGAAAAUUUUGAUAUAUAAUAUGCCUAUAUUAUAUUUUUAUUUCUUUUCGUUUUGCUUUACUUUGUUGUCUAAAAAAACAAAAACAAAAACAAAAUUUGUUCAGCACCGCCGACCGCGCCAGGCCAGCCGACCCAGCAAGCGGCCCAGCCGCACCCGCACCCGCACUCCCCUCGCCCGAACCGCCUCGCCUCUGGGCCGACAGGUGGGGCCCACCUGCCGGGUUUCUUCCCCCACGCCGAGCCGGAGUCCUGCUCCAGACCGACAUCCCCUUUCCCCAUUUGACCACACGAAGAUUCGACUGAUGAGACCACUCCAAGAAGUACAAGAUCUCGGACAACUAAGACCACUUCGGAAUGAAGAGGAUUUUACCAUGCAUUAUGAUAAUGGAAACUACGAUGGUUGAAAACUCCGAAGACUAGGAGAAUUUGAAGGCUCUGAAGAAUUUCCAGAUUAGUGUGACAUAGGAAGGCUACCCUUAUUGAACUUGGCAGACUAUAGAAGCUGUCAAUACCCGAGAUCAAGGUGUAUCAGAGAAAGACCGGAACAUGGAGCAUUAGAACUCAAAGUUUUUGUCAAGAAAACCCUAAGACAGGAGAUAUCAAUUAUGGAAUGAAAGCUCAUGGCAGUGACAUGGGCAUAGACUCGGCUAACCAUGGUGUUAUUGCCCGCUUAUGGUAUUGCCACCAUGCUGAGUUAAGCAUGCAUUUCUUUGGAAGGAUUGGAUGACAAGAAGGCUGAUGGAGCACCUAUCAGCAAGACGAAGUUUUAACCUUAGCUGGUGUAUCACCAGGAUCUGGAGAACUACAUCAGGAGUUCAAGAUGGACCUUCAGAAAGCUAUUUUUGACAAGGAAGCAUUUUGUGAAGAACUUACGACCCAAAAGCUGAAGUAGCCAAGUUGGAGAAGCAAAACCCCGAGAUACCGGAGAUUUGUCAGGAAUGAAGGACAGUAGGACCAUGGUUCAUGCCAAGGAUGUUGAAACCCAGAAGUUGGAACGCAACUCCAGAAUAUUAAAGGACGUCACGAGAGACUUCGCAUCAACAGAAAUGAUCUGGCAAAAGAAUUUGAGAAGGACAAGCACGAUCGGAAGAAGCCAAUGGAGACAUGAACAAUACUUGAAGAGUUUGGCGACUUUGAAGAUUUAUUGACCUUUAGAAGACCAAACCCCUGUUAUACCUACGUUAGCUGCGAUGUUUGUGAGCUGUCAUUUGUUUGUUGUUUUCCCGACUGCCACAAAAUAAAACCCGUCUUUUCAAAACUAUUGUUUGCAUUGUGUGUAUCCCCCUCUAUCUCUCUUAUCCCACCCCAAAGCCCACGGACCGAAUAGAGGAUGAAUGGAGAUGAGCUUAUAUCUUCUGGACCGAUGAGUUAAUUGGAGACGGACUGAUGGAUUCAGAACAUGGAAAAUCAUAUGGAGAAUAACACUAUAGCCGGAAAGGAUAUAACCCAUCAUGCUCUUCAGUGCUUUGAAAGAGGUGCUACUACUUGGUGGAGGAUGUACCAAACCAUCAAUGGAUGGCAAGGAGUAACCACUUGGAAGGAAUUUAAGUUGACUUUGCUAAAGUCUCGGUUUGUGUCCCAGAAAUUGAAGCCUUAUGGAAAUGGUAUGAAGAAACCCUGGGCAUGCAAGUUUUGUGGAGAAAUAGGACACAACCAUAAGGAACACAAGGAUGAAUGCCCUAACUGUGAAGGAAGUCAGCCAACUGAAGAAUUCCCAACUAGGCAGAUUACAUGUUUCUUGUGUGAAGGAACUACCCACUACCCUGCUCAGUGUCACAUUUACCCCAUGGUACAAAGAACCAUCCAGCAAAAGAAAAAAGCAAUGAAAGGAGCCCUCAUGGAAAUUUUAGAAGAACCCGUGAUGAAGGAAGAGGUGGAGUACACAUCCGAAGAAGACCCAAUUAAACCCUGCACCAAGUCGUGCUAUUCAUGUGGAGAAGAAGGACACAUCUUCCAGAAUUGUCUGAAUGGGGAUCUAGUAGAAUUCCCGACAGAGGAAGUAGAGUAUGACCCACAGGAAAUAGAAGCCCUGAUUGGAACGUAAAAGUAUAGGAAGAGAAGUAGAUUGGAUACCAGGAAGGACCUGAGCCAUAUCACCUCUUUCAGGUGCAAGGAGUCAGGGCACUACCUCAGCAGUUGCCCAAAAAGGAAGCCGAGGACCCAAGGAGGCUAUAUGAUCACAAGGAACCUCGAGACUUGUCAGAUGUAAUAUGUUUUCGUUGUAAUGAAGCAGGGCACUUUUCCAGGGAUUGUCCCAAAGAGAAGGAGGCUUGUGUUAAGUAGUGGAGUUUGCAACAAAAGGAAUAUAGUAGUAGUAGUAGUGGGAACAAUUCUUUUGAGGUGUUGAGUUGAGGCAUGUAAUGGAAGUGCAGGAGAUGGUAAUAAUUGGAGAAUCAGUAAAGUUAGUAUCGCGGGUACUGAUUUGGAUUUUAUGAGUUGUUACUCUAUGAAGGAAGAUUUUGACCAUUUUCGAGGAUAUGAGAAAUAUGGUCUAUGGGUGAAUUGGUGCAUUUCAAGGGUGGUAGUACCCUUUGAGGAAACUUGACCCUUGGAAAAGAUAAUAAUAUUCCACGGAGUGGAUUUCGGACAAAAUAAGUGUGAGUUUUGUCUCGAUAUGUGGGAUACCCCUAGAAUAUGAAGGGAUGAAGUAUUAUUGGAUAUAAAGGAGGUAGAAUGUUGGUAAUAUGGAGCAAAUUGUAACUCCAUCAUGAGUCUGAGUAAUCACGUCUUAGUUUGGUACCCAUAGAAGGAAGGGAGACAGUACAAUUGGUUGGAUUAAAGAAUGCUAGGAAGCCGGGUGUUGGAAUAGUGAUCAGUUGCCCAAUGAUGAGUUCAAGGUUUACAAGCGAUGAGAUGGGCCAUAACCCACAGGCCCCGGGACCUGCCAAGAAGCAAGCACAUUCUUGCUGAAGGAAAAACCCUCGAAGAAGUUACGAUUUUAUCGACAAACGAUCUUAUAGGAGUUUACGCAAAACCUGAGAGUUGUGAAGGAACGAUAGAUGUUUGUUUGACUUGCAGAAUCAAUGGAUUUAUCCGAACUUGGUUCGUUGACAAGAGAAAUUCUGCAAUAUUUGUGAGGAUGACCGAGUGUUAGAAUGCAAGAUUCGCUAAACCGUAUACAAGGUAAUGAUUUGGGUGCGGGAUGGAUUGAUCACCAUACCGACUUACUCUUAUUAUUCGCCUUGCUAUAUGGGAUGGUAAAUCUGAGCGACUUACCUAUAGUAGAGAGACGACGAUCAAAACCUUGUUUAAACCUUAGAAUGGUAUAAGUAUUUUCGCUUGUACAAGGCAGCUGUUGCCAAUCGUAGGAUAUACGGUGAGGUUCAACCCAGACCCAUUUCCUGCAGGAGAAACCAUAAAUUGUUGACCACCAUGAGAUAUCGAUAGUUGUUUAGUAUUGACGCCAGACCCGUCAGCUAUGAAGACCCAGUCUCAGAAUAACCUUACCAAGAUGAAAGGACAGAAAAAAUUAAGGAAAAGGUUAUGCCACUAUCGGAAGAGCCCAGAGAAGGAAUUUUUCUGAGAAUCUGAGAAAACCGGCCUUGUCAAGAAUAAGGAUGGAGUAUAUGAGUAUUGAUGGGACCGUAACCAUGCUUCUAAGGGUGGUAGCACCCCGGACCCCCUGUGACGAUCGAUAGAUUUUGAGAACACCCCCCAAAACCUAACCUAUUUCUUUCUAGCCUCUCCGAAUCUCGAGGACGAGAUUCAUUUUAAGGGUGGUAGGUUUGUAACAUCCCAAAAUUCUAAAUUUUGGAAUGUUAUAUUAAAUAGAUAGUUAUGAUUGAUUGUUUGAUUGCUUAAGUGAAAUUGAGUGAAAUUCGAAACUUUUUGAAAGUUAAAUGAGAGGGAAUAAAAGGACUUUCCUAAACUUUCAUUUUUGCAUUUAUGAUCUCUGUGAAUUCAAAUACUUUUCAUCACAAAACCCUCGAGUGAAGAUGACAUGACUUCUUCCAUUUAUUUAAAUGAAAAGGGUUGUUGAAAAUAUUUGAAUUUCAUUUGAAAAUAUUUGAAUUUCAUUUGAAAAUAUUUCAAAUCCAGAAACUUUAAGCAACUCAAUGAUUUUCAUGAGAGAAGAUAAAAUGACUUCUUCAAAACAUAUGAAAUAUGAGCUGGAAGUUUCAAAGAGUCAAAUUUAAAGCCCCUUUGAAAUUAUUUU
This 5855-nucleotide long non-coding RNA is filed under the name Triticum aestivum (bread wheat). RNAcentral describes it as "long non-coding RNA (TAES_LNC017627)". The record is from RNAcentral. Lineage: Eukaryota; Viridiplantae; Streptophyta; Magnoliopsida; Poales; Poaceae.